GAUGAACGCUGGCGGCGUGCCUAAUACAUGCAAGUCGAGCGAACAGACGAGGAGCUUGCUCCUCUGACGUUAGCGGCGGACGGGUGAGUAACACGUGGAUAACCUACCUAUAAGACUGGGAUAACUUCGGGAAACCGGAGCUAAUACCGGAUAAGAUAUUGAACCGCAUGGUUCAAUAGUGAAAGACGGUGUUGCUGUCACUUAUAGAUGGAUCCGCGCCGCAUUAGCUAGUUGGUAAGGUAACGGCUUACCAAGGCAACGAUGCGUAGCCGACCUGAGAGGGUGAUCGGCCACACUGGAACUGAGACACGGUCCAGACUCCUACGGGAGGCAGCAGUAGGGUAUCUUCCGCAGUGGGCGAAAGCCUGACGGAGCAACGCCGCGUGAGUGAUGACGGUCUUCCGAUCGUAAAACUCUGUUAUUAGGGAAGAACAAAUGUGUAAGUAACUAUGCCCGUCUUGACGGUACCUAAUCAGAAAGCCCCGGCUAACUACGUG
Molecule: ribosomal RNA, 497 nt
Filed under: uncultured bacterium
Lineage: Bacteria
Description: partial 16S ribosomal RNA
Rfam family: Bacterial small subunit ribosomal RNA
Source: RNAcentral